CUUGACAUGUGUAACUCAUUCGAUCAUAUCAAAUGUAUUUAUAAUAUUCUUGAUUUAGAAAAUAUUUCAUUCACCAUAAGAGGCUAAAGCUUUACUUUUAGCUCUCACUUAAGAAUCAAAAUAACUACUUCAAAAGCCUCAUUCUUAACUAUCGGAAAACAAGUUCAGAUUGACUUCGUGACGGUCAUCGACGAUUAAUUCUAUCACUAACGGAGCUCUUACAUUUUAUUUUUUAAUUAUUACAUAAGAUUUAGUAUUAUAAAAAAAUUUAUGAUAAUUCAUAAGUUGUUUCUUUAUAUACAAGUUUCGCAAAAAUCCGGUUUAUGUUAUUUUAGAGAGAUCAAAUUGGAAUGAUGACUUGGCACAAUUAGUUAUUAUAGAUAAUUUUAUCUAAGUGGCAAUGAUUGAGAAUAUACAAUGAAAGAAAAUUAAACCUUAGCGAUGUAUUUUUAGAGAGACGUUUAUGCACAAUAUCACAGCCACUUAUUCCAAAAACACAAAUAAAGGCUUCCCUCAUGCUUCGAGGCCCAAAACUCCUCAAUCAUUGGCGGAGAAUUCUUAGAGGAUCCAUCGACACCUCUACCCGCGAUCGAAGAUGGGCCCCUCGUCAAGGACCUCCUCCUCUUAUCGGAGAUGGACCCACACAAGGUGGUCCCACUCGAUGUCGACAGAAGCGCGCGACAGUCGUAUUGGCCCUUGCCAAAUAAUCCCGUGACUACUACGAAAUUACACAAUCGACCAGCCGCGAAGAUCCGAUAACCCACGAAGAAAAGGGCAUGUACGUCAUUUCGCGUUCACGUUGGUCGCGAGUCGUGGGUCCACUCCCACGGACUGACAGGGCUCUUAGCGGGCCCACCACGAGGGUAGCCCCGGUGGGUGUGUUGGUGAGGGGGAGACGAAUCAAGGACUAGCUUGCCCGCGCUGCUCAUCACGGGCAGUUCCCCACUAUAAAUUCGUGUAUUAUGGAAUGGAAAGUAGUUUGCAGCUGUCGCUCUUCGAGGUGUCUUUUGUAGAGAUUCCUUUUUCCUUUCCCACUUCGCGUCCAAGGUAGAAUGGAAAUUCUAGUAUUUCCAUUUUUAAUCUUUGUUUUGAUUCGAUCGUGUUUCUUAAUUUUUGAUUGUUUUUUGGUUACCUACGGGAUGUAUCUUUUCGACAGAUCUGGUGAUUUUGGAUCCCGGCGAGGUUUUCUUGGUUCAUUAUUUCUUGUUUGAACUCAAUAUAAUGCUUUCAAUUGUUUAUAAUCGAACUUGUAAACAUGAUGAAUGCUUUUCUUUCGUUUUUACUUCAGAUCUGCAACAAAUCUUCAAGGAAAAAUGGGAUCCAAUUUCGUGUCCAAGGAAGACCACCAUCACCAGGCUCCGUCGCGGCGGGGCGUUAGGAGGACCUGGUCCUCCAACUCGUCCACGUGCGGCCAGGGCGUCGCCGCUGUCCCCAAGUGCGUGUGUGCUCCAGCCACUCAUGCGGGCUCCUUUAAGUGCCGCCUCCACCGGGCGAGCUCCCACGGCCACUCGCCCCCCUCCCCCACCUCGAUCCGUCCGCCGCCGCCGUCCGCGAACUCCUCUUGCGCUCCCACCGUGGAAGCCCAGUGACUCGAACGAGGGCCAGAGCGAGGAACAACUGUUAAAGAAGGGAAACAUUUGGUGAUUCCCGAUGGCUAGCGAGAGUUUUCAUCUUGGCAUGGUGUAUUGUGUUUUCCACCCAUACUAUGCUUACUGCAGCUUCCUUAUUUUAUUUUGUAUAGAAGAAACAGCACCGAGUCUGAUUAGUGUUGUAAUUAGUUCUAUCUCCCAAUCGCCAGCUGUGAGAGAUGUUGCCUACUCCAGUAAUUUCUUUCUAUCUUCUUGUUGUUGAAGCUGUUCUUGUAAAUAUGAUCUGUUUCUACUUUCUAAAGCCCAAAAAACACAAAAGGCAUCGGUGUUCUAAUCUGAUUGGUGUGUGUUUGAAAGAUGACAAGUUAACAUAUGGAGGUGGCCAACUUUUUUUCCCAUUCCCUUUUCUUAGUUGAUGACAGUGAAUUUAUUGGUUGCCUUGUAUCUGUCCAGGUUCACGAGCUGCUCCGAGAAACGAAAGAAGGUUCAGAUGUUUAAUCUUCUUUUCCAAAUGCGAUCAACCACAGCAAAAGAAGGUUCAGAUGUUGAUAAACUUGUUCAUAUAUGUUAAAUUUCAGUGCUUUCAUUGAUGAAGAUGAUUGUCUUUAGAAUGUUUGCUGAAUUGUGCCUGUGGUGAUAGCAUGCAUUCUUUUUCUACUUUCCAACUCUGUUAACCUAGUGAUUCCUUGUAGUUUACUGUUCCAACAAGGUAGAUCCUGUUCUGGAUGAAUCCUCAGGUUUGAUAGUAUAUCCGAUGACUGCUACUUCUUUCCAUUUUCCUGCCAUAGCCGGCUUGAAGGACAUGCAUAUCCUGUACUACAAUUGUCCUUAUUUGGCACUUCCACACAAAAUGGAUCAGCAUGGGUACAAUUUCAAUUUGUCCAAAUGUGCUCUGAUGCAGCUAAUGAAGAAAUUUUUUAUCUAGUCAAUACUUCAAGUAUAGGUAGGAAGUUAUCACAUCAGAAGCUUAUGCAUGUGGGCCUUGUAUACUGCCGCCCUUCUUUAUCUUGUUCCAAAACUAUGGUGGCGUGACUUUUGGUUCACCAGUUGUGGACGUAAACAUAUGGAAAGUGCUGUUUGAUGAAAUGAAAGAAAAAGAAAGAUUUGACAGCCUAAAAAAAAGGUUUUUGACUUGUCAAAGUUUAGCUUGUUUUCUUCUACACUUCCAGAAACGAUGUGCUUUCAUCUGCCACCACUGGUGUUACUUUGCUUAAUUGUGAGACAUGUUCUCUUUGCAAUUUCUACAAUGUUCCAAAGUUCCCCCUCUGUAGGUAUUUUAAUGCAUAUCAGUUAAUUGUUAUGCUAGAUUUCUUUGAAUUGUGCAUGAGAGCAAACCAUUGAUUGAUGUGUGCUGUGAACCAACACUGGGUUCUUCAGUCUUAAAUUUUUAUGCUGAUAUUUUUGAACCAUGCAAUGCUAUAUGCUGUGAUCCAGUCUAGGGACUAGGGACUUCAUUCAAUUUAUUUUUUUGUCUGAGUUUAAAUUCUUGUGCUACAUUUCUUCAAACCAUGCAUUGGAAGCUAUGGUUAUUGCUAUGUGCUGUGAAUCAGUCUGGUUUUUUCAAUCUUUCUUGAAGGUGCAUCAAGCUUCUUGUGAGCCAUGGAAAUAUAUCUUGAUCUUUUCUUGGUCACAACUUGUGAGAUAUACAGAACUUAGUCGUGCUUUGUGUGCUGUAGCCCGUGCUUGUUGCUCCACUGUUACAUAUUGGCUUUUAUCCAAGUAGUGCACCGUUUAGAAACAAUUCACGUUCCUUUUCCGUAUGUUAACAUAGGAAUAAUUAUCUAUUGUCCUCCCCCCUACUUAGCUACCUUUAAUGUUUUUAUCUUAGUCUUUAUAUGAUAUCCCUAUAGUUAGGAAAGUAAAAUAUUUAAGUUCAUUUAUUCUUAACGUCGUUAGUUUUACCAGCGAAAACAUGAAAACAAAGGACAAAAAAAUAAUUUUAACAUUCGAUGACAGACGACAUCGAUGGUGGUGGCCGAUAGACACGCUGGCGUCGACGCCGACACAGUUAUUUGACCGCCUCCGACGAUGAUAAGAUUCGCUCUCACCGCGACACCACUAGCCUCCAUGAGAAGUGUGUCGUUGACCUCAUUGUGACGUCGACACAGAUGGUGGUGGUCGUCAUGGCAUCCACAGCAAAGAUGGUAGUCACCUCAUCGUUGACCCGUUAGGCGAAUCGCAACCUCAACUCAAAUUUAGGGCUACCGGAACUCCUACCGCUACCAUGUUAGUUCCGGCAUCACCACUUGGCCAAUUGUCGACAUCACCUCUUGGCUAGUUAUCGAGCGAUGAAAAGGUUGCUUGGCAUCUGCAUCAACGUCGACACAGAUAUAGAGCGGUAGGAGCUCUGACGACCCAAGCUUCGAGUUGAGGCUACGAUUCGCCCAACAGGUCAACGACGAGGUGACCAUCAUCUUCGUCGUAGACAUUGUGGCGGCCACCACCAUCUGUGUCGGUGCCAACGUAGAUGUCGAAUGACCCUUUUGUCGCUCGACAAUUAUGUUAGCAUCAAUGUAGAUGCAAAACCACUCGAGGCGGGUGACGAAGAGGUCGACGAUGUGCUCCUUGUGGAGGUGAGUGACAAUGCGAUGAGAGCGAAUCUAAUUGUCAUCGAAGAUGACCAGACAACUGCAUCGACGAUGACUUUAGCGAUAUCGUUGUUCAUCACUAAAUAUUAAAAUUAUUUUUUUAUUCUUUAUUUUCAUGUUUUCGCUAAUAAAACUGAUAUUGUUGGGGAUAAAUUGAUUAUAGAUAUUUUAUUUUCAUAACUAUAAAGAUGUUAAUAUAAUUAUUUAAAAUAUGUGGAUCGAAAUACUAUAUAAUAUAUAAUUAGCCAGUUACCAUAACACAUUUUUUCUUUUGUAAGUCAGUGUUCAAUCUGGAGUCUUAAUUGGCAGAUGUAGAAGAUGAUUCGCAUGGAAAUCAUACGAGGAAUUGGUCAAGAACUUUUAUCUACUGGGUUAAUCAGUUGGUAGAACACUACUACCUCUUCAUCGAAUACCUUGACGGCAAGAUGACCGACAACCCAUAGGGAUGCCCUUGGAUUCUGCAAUAAAGGAGAAUCACCGGAUCACAUGCGAGCGGAGUCCGUUUCUAACACACAGGUAUGCUGCUGAGCUCAAUGGGUUCACCAAGUGUUCAGCUUCGUGCAGUCGGACGCGAGAGCUUGUUUCGGUUCCGAAGCCGGCGUUUCGGAUUUGAAGAGCAAAUGACCCAAUUAACCGCGAAAUUUUCCUGACAUAAUUGUCGUCUGUGCCUUCGCCAUCAGCGUAAUCACAUCAAAUCAUAUCAUAAACCUCUACCAAAUACAGCCUGCUCCAAUCGGGCAAUACCACAAACAUUUAAUCCUCAUUGCUGUCUGCACUACCGGGCGAGUGUUUGGAGAAGGGAAGAAAGGUGAACAUGGGGCGAAGCGGCGGCGCCGUGGAGGUUGGGGAGCGCGGAGGGACACCGGAUCGCCGGUCCUCGGAGGGGGACGGGGAGGAUGAGCAGCAGAAGCAGCAGCGGUCGGAGAUCUACACCUACGAGGCGCCGUGGCACAUCUACGCCAUGAACUGGAGCGUGCGGCGGGACAAGAAGUACCGGCUGGCGAUCGGCAGCCUGCUUGAGGGCUACGGUAACCUGAUGGAGAUCGUGCAGCUGGACGAGGCCACGGGGGAAAUCCGCUCCGACCCGGCCCUCUCAUUCGAGCACCCCUACCCCCCCACCAAGGCCAUGUUCGUCCCCGACCGCGACUGCCUCCGCCCGGACCUCCUCGCCACCUCAGCCGACUUCCUCCGCAUCUGGCGCGUCGCCGACGACUCCUCCCGUGUCGAGCUCCGCGCCCUCCUCAACGGCAACCGCAACUCCGAGUUCUGCGGCCCCCUCACCUCCUUCGACUGGAACGACGCCGAGCCCCGUCGCAUUGGCACCUCCUCCAUCGACACCACCUGCACUGUCUGGGACAUCGACCGCGAGGCCGUCGACACCCAGCUCAUCGCCCACGACAAGGAGGUCUACGACAUCGCCUGGGGCGGCGUUGGCGUCUUCGCUUCCGUUUCCGCCGAUGGCUCCGUCCGCGUCUUCGACCUCCGCGACAAGGAGCACUCUACCAUCAUCUACGAGUCCGCGGAACCCCCCGGUACACCACUCGUCCGCCUCGGAUGGAACAAGCAGGACCCCCGCUACAUGGCCACCAUCAUCAUGGACAGCGCCAAGGUCGUCGUGCUCGACAUCCGCUUUCCUACUUUGCCCGUCGUCGAGCUCCACCGCCACCAGGCCAGCGUCAAUGCCAUCGCCUGGGCUCCCCAUUCCUCGUGCCACAUCUGCACCGCCGGCGACGAUUCCCAGGCCCUCAUCUGGGACCUUUCAUCCAUGGGCAGCGACCAGCAGCCUGCUGCCUCCACCGCCGCUGCCGAGGGCGGUCUUGACCCCAUACUGGCCUACACCGCUGGGGCCGAGAUCGAGCAGCUGCAGUGGUCCUCCUCCCAGCCGGACUGGGUGGCCAUUGCCUUCUCCACGAAGCUUCAGAUACUUAGGGUUUGACGGCCUCACCUUCAAUCAGAAAACUAAUCGAAAAAAAAAUUCUGUUAUAUUCAUAAUCAUUAUCAUCCUCGUCUUAUUCGUUAACGUUUUACUACGCUUGUGGUGACUGAUAACAAUAGGUUUGUCAAAGAAAACUAGAAGGGAAGGUAGGUUUCGCCUUGUAGGUCUACAUGUCUACGAUAGUAGCUACUGAGUUUGUCAUCUGAAAUUGCAUUCUAUUGAGUAGGGAUGUCAUUGGCUCCACCUUCAAGGGUUUCUAUUGUUCUCAUGUGCUGAGUAUAUAUUACUUGUUGGUCCUCUAAGAUUGCUGAUCUUGGUCGGAUGUUAUCUUCAUCCUAUCUGAAACUCAUAUUUGUUGCUUUUGUUAUGCCUCUACUUAACUUUGAGUAAUUCGUUUAGAAUGGAAGGGUUACAAUGCUUUAGUUUUUCAUGUGAUGAUACUCUAAAGUAGAAGUAACUGUAAAGUUUUAUGGUGGAAGAGAGGAGCGUAUCAUUUCUGUUUGGUGCUUCUGCUUUAUGCUAGAAUGAUGAGUUAGAUGCAUCAUUUUUCUAGAUGAGUGGGGCUUUUUACCUAUUAGUAGAAAAGCUAAACAUGAAAUCAACUGUAUAAAGUUUUUGAACGAUAAUCAUGGAAUGGCUUCGAAAUGCUUGUCUUAUUUCUAGAUAGUUUACUAAGAAGCUAAUAAGGUAGGUAAAUUGUUGAUCAUUCAAGUGGAGAUGACAAUGUAUGACUUAGCACUCUAUUGACUUUACCUUUGUCAAGAUCAUAUUUAGUAUUAACUUUUUCAGGUCUUCCAUUCAACUUUGAGGAUUUCUUGAAUAGUGCCUUUGUAUGUAUUCUAAAAUUCUCUUGCUGAAAGCUAGCACCACCGGUUCAAAAAUAUUCAGUUUAUUUUCUUCCUAUGGUUGUCUGUGGGAUAUGUAUGGCAAAUUUUUGUGAGAUUUGCCAUUACCAACUUUCCAAACUAUGAUUAUAAAGUAAUCACAAGCCAUAGGUUUGGGAUCUGCUCAUUACACCCCUGAUUUCAAGUGGCACCGGGUGAUAGUGAUUGAUUGUCAUUGUUUCACUCAUUUUUGUAUUCUCUACAUCUUUUUCUCUCUCUCUUCAUACUAUGGUUGUUGCAGCAGGCUGCACUGCAGCAGCUUUUAUCACUUCUCGACUGUUUUCAGCUACAAGGCCAAGCAAUCGACCGAAAUUAGGUUGGUUGUGUUUCAACUUGAUCAGGAACGGUGUACAUGAUGAACCUUGAGAUGACAUGUUGGAAUUAGAUUCUUAAUUUCAGUGAUGCAGAACAUGUACCAGUAGUUAAAACAGAGAACCUAGAUUGUUUGGGGUGUGCAACGAACUAAGUAACCAUGAGUUUGGAAGGGACAUGAGGAAAUGUAGAUUGAUACUGGUUUAUUGUCCUAGGUAGCCUAGUUGGUAAAGACUUCGAUUGAUUAUCACAAGAUCCUAAUUUUGAAUCCUGCUUUCAUCACUCAUCCUUUACCAAAAAAUAAAUAUUGGUUUAUUGUGCUAGGAAAUUUCUUGAAUAUGUAAAUUUGUUGAAUAACCUAAAGUUGUAGCUAGCAUGUUCUUAUGUCCUUUUUGAGCAUCAAUAGUCGCACUUAAAUAAUCUUGGAUGUUCAGGAAUGAGUAAAUUUAUGAUUUUUAACCCUAAUGAUGUGGCUAGAGUGUUCUUUAAGACCUCUUUGGUCAUCUAAUAGUAGCUCACUCAGAAAGAUCUUGUUAAAGGGUGAAUAGUUUGGUAGACACUUGUUUCAAGCUAAAAUGUUGUAUUGUCUAUGCAUCUUAAGAAAUCAUUUUUUAAUCUGUCAUGGAGGAUUAUACUUGCAGAUGCUAUUUCUUGUAUUUCUGCGCUUGAAGGCUUGGCCCCAUCUGGUGACAAAAGUAAGUUAACAGGGAAUGUACUUUGGCAUGACUGUGAGGUUCGAGGGUUGUUCGAUCACUUGGGAGUAAUAGUUCUAUAUCCUAUGUUCAUCAGUUUGGCAGUCUAAAUUGAGUACUAGAAGAGGUUCUAGGUAUUUCGGUUAGGAUUUAAUGAAACAUAAGAAUGCAUUUUUCUGCCUUUACCAUGUGUUUCGCCAUCCAAAUUUAAAGUGUAAGAAAAAUAUUUAAGGGAAACAUGUAUGUAAGACAUUCAUCUUCAUCAUACACUAAUAUAGAUAGAAACUUUUUGUUGUCGCCUUUUCUACUGUUAUUUUAGUCACUUUUAUGUGGUUGGUUAUGUUCCUUUAUAUGCAUGUACAAUAUGCACAAGCUCGGGCAUCCUACGGUCUUAAUAUCCUAGUCAAAUAAACAAAGAAAAAAAAGCUUGUAUAUCAUAUAGUCUUAAGUUAAAUAGAUACCGAGCGGAACCUGUUUUGAGCAAUUUGUUCUAUAGCUUGAAAUUAAAAGGACUAUAUCAUGUGAUGUUCCGUGGAAGCAAUGGUCCGAAGCUCAGUAUUUGAUGGUCACAUGUUCUAGUAGAAUCAAAACAUUUGUUCAUAACCUUCUGUUCCUGUCAUCUGAGUAAGGUCUACUCUCAGUAUUUGGUAAUUUUUAUGACUGAAAUUGAUAGUAGCACUUGGUGCUGAAUUUGUACCAUAACAUGAUAGGUAUCGUUUCUUUUUAUUCGGGAUGAAUUUUCAUUAAAGCUGGUCAUAUAAGCGAUUCUUGAUGUAGUCGACAGGGUUGUUCCUUUUUCGAUAUUUUAUUUGGUGAUUGCUGUCUCAGAUAUAUCGACCUAUCGGAACAUGGAUCAUUUAAUGUCUUGCUGCCUGUUUUCUUAUAGUCUUGUGCAUCAUUGUCUUCUCCGGAGUUCCAGAAGAUGAUUCUUUAGUCUUCUUCUUCUUCUUUUUUGUGUCAAGAGAUCUAAGUAAAACAUCUAUUAGCAUUUCCUCUGAUACUUAUUUCUGCUAUGGUUGUAAUUCCUCAUAUUUUCUGACAGACAUGUUGAAUCUCAUAAUGGUAUGGCUCACUAUGCUGGAGAUAUACAUAUUAGCAAUAGUCUCUUGAAAUGUCAGUAUUUGAACUCACAGUUAGUGGCUUCUGUAGUUCGAGAAGUAUAUGUUGAUUUCAAUGUCAAGUGCCACUGUUUUGGUGGGACUUGAAAAGCUGUUGAUACAUAUCGAACUUGUCAGGACUUUUGAUUUCUCGGUCAGUUUUAACUAUCUACCCACCCUUCUUUAACUUGGUUCAAACAUAUGGUGACGUUGGCUUUUGGUUCACCAAUUGUGGAUGUACGUAUAUGGAAAGUAUUGUUUAAGAAGCUUGCUAUUGGUAUUGGCAACUCCGAAUUCGCUAUUGCCAACCCUUUCACUAUAGCUAAUAUUUCAAAAAAUAAUAAAAUAUAAUUUUAUUAUUUACGAUCUCUUUGUUAUCAAUCAUAUCUUUAUUUCUAUAACCCUUUAUUUUAUCGUUGGCAUCGACAUCGUUUCUUGUCACUCCAUUACGGAACAAGAACAAGAGAACAUUUAUGCUCGUUCGAUAUUGUUCGUCGGGAGAAGAAAAAGAAAAGAAAGAAAGAUGAUGAGGAUACUUACGUUUGUUCAUUUGCAAAGAUAUUUUUUAAAAAAUAUUUAAAAAAAAAUAAAAUAAGAUUAUAAAUAAUAAAAAAGGGGUUAGAUUACAAACCUUUGUUUUAAUAAAAUGAAAGAAAAAAAUUGACACCUGGAAAAUGUUGUUGACUGGUCAAACUUUAACUUGUUUUCAUCUACGUGCCAAAGAGUAUGAGGUCAACGUUGCUGUCUGCCACGCUGCUGCGAAAAGAGCUGAAGGGAAUCGCCUCCUCUUGUCUGCACCGAUGUGUCUGUCAUCGACUGUGGAUGCAUCAUCGACAACGGCGAUAGGUGAUGAUGGAUGGCGAGGUUAAGGCAAUGGCGGGGGUGGGCGGUGCAGCGUUUGGUCUGACAUGGUUGGCGACGACUGGGAAGCAACCCAUCUCCCGGAAUCGGAACGGGAGGCAACCUCGGUAACUUAUUUGGUUCUUCCAUGAUGCUUCUGACAGAAUCCCUGCCUCUCUGUUUCGGCUGUGGCGCUCGUCGGUAUACGUUCCUUUGUCCUUCUCCCACACCUGCCUGUCGGUUCUUCCCGCACUUCUCGAGGGGAAGACGACCGUAUCCUAUCCUGUGAGGAGGCUGUGGGCUCCGCGGGGUUAUUGUUUUUUUCUAAGGAUGCAAUCGUUACAUUCAUUGCUGCUUCUUAGUAAAGUCGAUUGACACGUAUCCUAGUGACAUAUAUAUAUAUAUAUAUAAAUUUAUACGAGAUUGAUAUCGUUUGUAACACUAGAUUAAGAUUGACUUAUAAGGGUAUGAUGAAUGUAUUACCAUCAAAUUCAGCUUAAGCAUUUUGGUUAAUGGUUUAAACCAAACGAAGUUGAUAGACUAGUUAGCCCAUCAGGCUUGAGUCUUGAUAUUUGAUAUACCUAACAUUUAAGCAUGGAAAGAGGGCUCGAGUCUUGAUAUUUGGUAUACCUAGCAUUUGAGCAUGAGGGGGCUCGAGUCUUGAUAUUUGGUAUACCUAGCAUUUGAGCAUGAUGAGAGGGCUCGAGUAGGAAAGAGCACAUGCACUAUAUUAGGACCUGAUCUGGGUUAUGUGUAACACCCCUGAUUAGUCCGACAUCGAAAAUGAGUAAGAUUAAAAUUGACUUAUAAGUAUACUAUUAUCAUUUUAAUUAAUAGUUUAGAUCAAACGAAGUUGAUAGACUAAUUAGCCCAUCAGACUCGAGUCGUGAUAUUCAAUACCACAUAAUCGUUACCAACAAAAGAUAAAUAUUUUUUUACAAAAAUUAAAUAAUAAAAAAUCCUCAUAAUUAGUUUUAUAGAUGAGAUAUGAUCACUAUAUUAUUAACAAUCACCAUGCCGAAUAUGUACCGUGGCAUGAUCCUAUGUUCAUUAAUAAUGAUGUCAUCAUCUGAUUAGCAUAUAACCUAAAUAUUAUCGAGUCAAAUGUUCCAUCAACUCAUCUUUCAAGAUGUGCUUAGUAUGUUAUCUAAGUUGACAAUGAAUGAUGUGCUUAGAAAACCUCAGUGCAUGCACAUCCAUGUUUUCUGAGAUGUGUCCCUCUGUCUCAAUUCCAAUCGGAGUUCGAAUGGGGAAGACUACGGCGAGUCCGACUUCAAAGAAGACAAAAACAUAAAAAAGAAGAUGUUGGAGGUCCACCCACUUGAAAUGGUGGGUGGUGGAAUGCGACAUGGAUUCCGAGACGACGACGACGACGAAUACCAAUACGGUGAACUUUCUUUCGCCCGGCGACUUUUGUGCUCAUUUAUGUAUGUUGGGAAGAUGGGGAAGGUGAAGUGGUUGGGUGGGGACGUUCUUCUCGCCUUCGUAUAGUUUCAUUGGGUGUUCCAAGCAAUUCUUAUGGCGUUCCUUUUCUUCCCCAAGUCAAAUAUCGUGCAUAAAAAAUGUAGGUAGGUCGUUCACCCAAAGCUAUUGUUGGAGUAGGUUUAGAGUGUACCGAAAAAUCUUUGAAUGCAAUGAUCAGAAAAGAUAAAAUAAUUAAUAUUAAUGAUAUAAAAAAAUAUAUAAAAAAUAAUAAAUAUUACAAAUAAAUAUUUAAGUAUUCCGAAUUUAUCUAAAUAUAUAGUCUUUUAUAGAUUUAAAUGAUGACGAAAGAUUCAUGUCAUCGAUCCCAAAUAACUAAGAUUUACGAUUUUAUCGUUGUUAUUAUCAUUAUUAUAAGAUAAAAUAUUAGUAACUAAAAGCUUAUAUUUAUAUUGAUCACUUAUGAUAGCUCUCGAUAUCGAUGGUUGUCCUGGUGGUCGAUCGUCUUGAUUCGAUGAAAAUUUUAAAAUUUUUUUUUAUGUGUGAUAAUUUCGCAUGUAAGACAAUUGUAAAUAUCCAAAAUAUGGUUUCGAGAGAUAGCAUCGAGCUCUCGAUGUCCCUCCCUUUAAUGUUAUUCAAAGUAUAGUGAAGAGAGAGUUUAACCUCGAACACAAUAUCAACGGACUUUUUUCUAUGUACAUAUUGUCGAUCCGUAGUUUAGAGUGAAUAAUAAUUCUAUCAUCUUAUAAUCUCUCAAACUUAUAUAUUUUUUUUCUCAUUUUGUUACUAAAUCAAUCUCAUAAUUUAGCUUUGAUUAUAGAAGAUUAGCUUUGACUGAAACUGGACUCGUAAUUUAACUAAGACCUUUAACCAAACAUAACAUCUAAAUCACAACAUCGGAUUUAUAUGAUCUAAAAGUAUAAUAGGAGUUCGAUGAAAAUCUUGAUUUUUCUGUGUGGAUAUAAGUAAAUAUUAUAUUUUAUAAUUAUAUUUCUUCUAGCAUCAAAGUCUUCUAACUACAUACAUAAUCAUCACCGCAUCGUCAAUCUUUUUCAUUGAAACCUACUUUCGAGAUCCAAAUCGUGUUUAUCGGAUCUAAAAGUGUCACAUCGCCCGGUAAAGAUUUGGUCCCUUGUUUGCAUCAAUAAGCAGCUAGCUGUAGUCAACGGUGGAGCAAAUCUAGAACGCAAACGUUGUCCACGAAGUCAAUGAAAUCUCUAUCCGUAAAGAAUCGAAGUCCGUAGGUUGCUGUUGUUGUUAUCGUCGUAUUGGUUUGCAGCGUUUGCUACGAUGCUUCGGCGUGGGAGAGAUGCACAAGUCAUAGAAGAACGUGUUCUCGUUUAUGUGUUUUAUCGAAUCAAACACAUGUAAAGGUCAUUAUUAGACUGGGAAGAUUCAACUCAGUUCUCACGUACGAAAGCAAGCGGCGAGAGGAGACCUCAAAGGCCGUGUCUCACAUGGCAUUCCUGCGUCCGGGAAAUUGUAGGGGAAGGGAGAGGAGAGUGGGUUAAAAAAGCAGGCAACAGGAGAGGUGAUGGCGACAAGAGACUGAGUGCAGACUCUCUCUCUCUCUCUCUCGACAGGCUCUCCUCCUUGCACCAUUAAGUUGAUUCACCCGGGAGUUGUGACCGAGCGAGAUAACCUGUUUGCAUCAUGCCAGAAUGGUGACACCCUGCGCUAACAGCUACGUCUGGGCUUAGGCAGACGGUCGGAGCACGACAGAGGAGGCGUAGGCUCCAUUUGCGGUGUUGCAUAGUUAUGGACGACAGCAGCAGCAGCAGCAGCAGCAGAGGCGCCAUUAAUGGAAAAAGGCCCAUCAGGUACAUGGUGAUACUGUUUAUGGAAUGGGAAGGUAAGGCCAGAGAUGACGGGAAAGGGGAGGGGAGGGAUGAGGCGUUGCAGAUACGAUAUGAUUUGAUGACAAUAACAAUUCAGGCGAGACUGCGUCGAUCACUUGUGUUACCACUGCCCGCCAGACCAAGAAACGUAAUCCCCGUGGCUUUUCCUCGUUCGACGCGCCCAACUCCUCCUUUGGGGCACCGGGCACCGCCGUGCGUGCCGCCCGAGGCGAACGCGUCCGUAACUAUUGAACUCACUUGCGGUCACACUGGGCUCGGUGCGCAGUGCACGAUGCAGCGGCCCCCCCGCUUGACUUUGCUCAUCGGUUCUUGAUAGAGUGGAUUUUGCUGGAAUUCUACUGCUCCCACGCCGGAGAAAAAUUACAAAGGCAAAAUAAGAAACUGAGCGCCCUCAGAGAUCCCUUUUCGAGCAGCGCUACAAAGUACGGACUUGGGGGUGGGGGGUGGGGGGAGUGAGGUCCCCGCUCUGGCUUGACAUGCGUUGGAGGGGGACACUGCUGUCAGCGGUCGUUUCUCGCAACAGUCCCGACACUAACAACGCUGUCCCCGGUGCAUAGCGUUGCAGGUGACUUCCCUCUGCGUUCCUUGUAUCUCGUAGUGGUACGACUCCUCAGGACCAUGAAUCAACUUCAUCAUAGCACCGAGUAUUUUUGGUACCAAGCAAAACACGGUGGAGAAGAGGGCGAGGGUGGUGCGUCGUAAUUAUGAGGCUACCCUCGGAUGUGGUCUCUUACCUGUGCCUCGGUUGUCACGUUAUUCCCAUGGGGGGAUGCGGCGGGCACCGGUGCUCCCUCGCGUGUUAUGGUGGUCCAGCUGGACGGAAGCAGACGUCGUCGUCGGUGGGGACGGACGAGACAAAACACACAGGAGCGUCGACCCAAAGUUGCCGAUGACAUGUAUGACAAUAUGCUAAAGUGAGAUUGAUCUGAUACAUGGAAUCUCCCCCCUCAGUCAAAAGAAAAAGGGCGAGGGGGAUCGGACUCCAUUAAGAGAACGGGUGCGACCAUGCUUUAUUUUCCUGUCCUAGCUUUUUCCCGGGUGGACAUGUGGAUAUAUAUAUAUAUGGCUUGGGAAAUUUAUAUCUGGCUGUUGAUGUACUCGUCCCCCGUCAACCGAUUCCGACGGCAGGCAUGAGGAUCUCGCUUCCUCCCACCCACCUCCGUGACAGAGGGGGGAGGAUUCGCUGGCUGUGCGUUGCGGGCGUCUCCGCAUCCCCGUCCGAGCCCCGUUGCAACGCCAGAUUUGACCGUCCAUUGCCGCAUUCAUAUCCGCAGCUACGUCUCCUCCUCCUAUUACUAAAUAACCGACCCCCUCACUCCGUCAAUUGAUUGAAAUCGAAGAAUAGCUGCAACAGAUAUAAAACAUGGAUUUAAUAACCCAUUCAAACCCCCAUAUAUGCCCGACUUGCCUGCGUGCCUUAUAAUGAGAUUGUCACUGCCCAUAAAAUAGUGUCGGUUCGUUUUCUCAGGCAGCUAUUAUGGUUUGUAUAUGCGUUUAGUUUAUUUUGGUUUGUGGCUUGCGUCUUUUUCCUACGUGGACCCCUCUCUUCCUCUUUCUCUCUCUCGGAUGAUAUAUAUACAUAUACAUAGAGAGAGAGAGAGAGAGAGAGAGAUACCCAAACACAAUAUAUAUGUGCCACGCCCAUUCUUGUCCCACGCCAUUUGGUUCGCUCAUCCUUCCCUCGCCCUCAACCCGCUCCCAACGCGCGCUCUGACCAUAAGAAGAAGCGACGCCCGUAGCAACCGAAAUCGUCGUGGUUGUGGGGUGGGGGGGUUUCGGAUCUGGCAGUGAUGGCCGUGCGAGCCCAGUAUCCCGCCAACGCCUUCUCCCCCGAUUUCCGCUACCGGUGAGCCAUCAGCGCUUCUCCUUGCCCCUUCUUGGAGCGCUUCUCUUGGAUUCCUUAUCCCGCUCUCUUCCAUUUAAGAUCCAUCCCUCUUCCUCUCAUGCCCUGUUCCUUCCUUCGUUUGGUGCUGUGGUUGGUAGCAGAGCAAGGAGCGGUGCGCUGGAUGACCCUCUGAUGAUGCAAGAGCCUCGCGAUCUCCUGCAACUCCAUGGCAACAACCUUGGCACAGGUGAGCCUCCCUUUCUAGCCUUUCUCGGCUUUCUUGCUUCCAGACCGCGGUGUGAUGGGAUCGCUGAUUGCAACCGUCAUUGUGGGUGAUGCAGGGGAGCAGCAGCACCAAAUCUUGAACAACGCGGGGGUGUUCAGCGACCGCCAGAGCGAGCUCACGUGCAAUGCCUCAGGGUGCAGGAAGCGGUCGCGGGAGGAGGCCAUGGUGCUGCCCGGUCUGCACAACCCUGCCCUCUCGACGCUGUUCCGGUACCCUAACGCGACGGCGGUCCCGGUGAAGCCCACUGCCGCCCAGACCUUCUCCGUCGGACUCCCCCAUAGCCGGUCAAUCGAGUCCGGCGCUACUUCUACCAGCGGUCGGCACGUUUCGUCGUCGCAUGCCGCCCCGCCUCCCCCUUGCGAUCUCGUCUCCCUUCUCUUUCAACAGAAUACGGAAAUCGACGCCCUCGUCCGCUUGCAGGUAUCUGCCUAUCCAAUACCUUCCAUCUAUAUCCGUUGUUGCUUUAUUUCUUGAAUCGACUAUUUUAUCUUGAAAUUAAUCAUCAUCUGUAACCGACCUCAACAGAACGAGAGGCUGCCGACUGGAUUAGAGGAGGCGCGCAAGAGGCAUUGCCGGGCACUUCUUACGGUGUUGGAGCAGCAGGUGGCGAAGCGCUUGAUGGAGAAGGAAGCCGAGUUACUGAUGGCGACGCGACGGAACGCAGAGUUGGAGGAGAAGGUGCGGCAGUUGAGCGAAGAGAUCCAGAUAUGGUUCGCCAUGGCCAAGAACAACGAAACCAUCGUGUGCAACCUGCGGACGAACCUGGAACAGGUCCUACUCCAGGGCGCGUCCGGGGCCGCAGGCCGCGGUGGUUACGACGACAGCGAGGGCGGUGGCUUCCCGGCCGACGACGCCCAGUCGUGCUGCUUCGAGUUCGACGCUGCCGCGGCUCCGGCGGCGGAUUCCGAGGUCGCCACGUGGCGGAGGGCCUGCAAGGCAUGCGGGGAGCGGGACGUCUCCAUCCUGCUCCUCCCCUGCCGGCACCUUUGCCUCUGCAAAGACUGCGAGGCCAAGGCCGACGCGUGCCCCGUCUGCGGUUCCGCCAAGAACGCCUACCUCCAAGUCUUCAUGUGCUGAUGGCGUCGGACGCAGCGGCGGAAGGCGGUUCGUUGGGGUUUUCUUUUUUGUGGCGGUUCGUGCGGACCGUCGGACCGGUCGAAUUUGUUCAUAUCGUUCGUUACAUUUUGGUUUUUGGUAGGGAAUUCUUCUUUUUGCUGGGCGACGGUUAUCGCACGUUGCCGCUUCUGUGUAUGGAUCGCGUACUGAUAGGCUUUCGAUGAAAGGUUUCUUCUCCUCUCUAAGUAACUGCACACACGAUCAGAUGCAGUAAUGGAGGCCACCCAAUUCUCUUCUCAUUGCUUCUCUUCUCUUUCAGCUACUUAUUAACUAUUAAUAAGCUUUAGAAUAGGCUGCAGAUGUAAUAGUACGCGGUAAAACGUGAUGAGGGGGACCGGAUGCGUGGUUGUGAAGAGGUAGAACAACGUGAUAGUUAGCGGUAAAAGGUGAAGCGUUUGAACAGUGUGCUUCCACUUUGGUAUUUGGUUCUUCAUGUAUCCCUGAGAUGAGGUGGGGAGGAGAACCAAUAGCCGUUACUUCUCGGAGACACGGAAUUGUGGUGCUCACGGGAGCGUUUGCCGAAAGGGGUGGGUGAUCGGUGGCGUGAUGGUGAUCUGCCAAGCAUAUGAUGGCGCUGUGACUAUUGUCAUUAUUGCUUUGCGUUUCUUCAUUGUUGGAUGUCACCUCUAUUCCCUUUGAAAUAAUUAGUAUUUUGACUCGUAUUCGUGAAUUAAGUUCUAAAGGCUCAUGUCAUGUCCACAUUUCAUUACGUCGCUGUUGUUGGGCUCCAACCCCUCGAUGUUAAAGUCAUACAUGAGAGCCACACCUUUCCAUGUUGCUCAUCUAUUAAAAAAAUUAUGCAGGGAUCUAACAAUGUUUUGAUUUAAAUAGUCUUAAAGUCAACAAUAAAUCCCACCUAUCCUUUUCCAUGUCAUAUCUUCUUCACUCUUAUCUUAGUUUAGGCUUUCCCAGACCUAAACCCAUAUUCCAUGCACCUGUGCUUCCACUCAAACUCAUUGUAGUUGCUCAUGUCAUGUGCAGUAGGGGAGAAAGCAGGAUCCUCUCCCACAGGGCCAAGUAAUCAAAGACCUACUCGCUCCUUUGUCAUGGCUCGGUGGACAAAGACAAAGGAGCGACCUUUAUCUUUAUCUGAUGCCUCCGAUUCACCCAAGCAUGUUAUUAAACAAGCAUUUACUUCUCACCUGGUGCCCCACCUACCUCUCUCCCUUCACCGGCGUUGCCUGCACAGACUUUUUUUUUCCCCCCUUUUUCUCGGGGGUGGGGUUCAGUCAUCAUCAAAUGCUUUUGGCUUUGUUUGGAUUUGAUGACAUAACCAUAAUAAUAAUAAUAAUAACGUGUUGGAUGGUGUUGUUGGGUCCCUGCAGCUUGGCCGACUUGUUUGAACAUGGAGAUCAGUUGACCUAUCUUGCCUGGUGUUCUGUAGCUUUUUCUUUCUCCAAGUUUUUUGUCAUCAGGAAGCUUGAGGCCACAGCUUUGCUUUCUUUAAUCUCGCCGAGGCAGAGCCACUGCCCUGGAAGGCACCAAAAAUAAAUGCACAAGUCUGCUUGGAAUCCCACAACCUUCGUCCAUGGAAAAGAACCUUUUCUCCCUCCCUGUGAGCUUUACUUGUGUUGGAAUUUGGGCUGUCGCCAUCCCCACCCAAUUCCAGGGGAUCACACUCGCUUGUUUCGUGGUGUUGGCUGUGUGGUCCCGCCUCAUCCAAGCGAAGCAAGAUAUAUGCUCUUUUCAUGGCUUCGGACCUUAAGGCAGUGGCAGUGGUAGUGACAACGACAGCGACAGCGACAGACUUUAUUGCUUGCACCAAAAGAUUUUGACACAACUUGGGUGCCUUCUCUUUCAUGACUCGGCAGUGCAUAAUUAUCCCGUGGAAUUCUUCUCUCACAAUAAUUACGACGUAUGAGACGGGUGGUGUGCGCCCACAUGGGAGGCAUAUUCCCAACGAAACACGAGAGAAACAACUCCGCGAGGCCGAAGAAAGAGUUCCCAACGUCCAACUAGAGAUGCCGCUCCCACUACACAACAUCUGCUCCUUUUUAUAUCUCCUCCUCGGAAUCAGCGACGGUCUCAUCCAUCAUUCUCGUCGGGUUAGCCUGCAGAUGCCCGAGUCCAAGUGGAUAGUCUAUUGACGGCAUCGCUGACACCCACAGGGCACGGGACUUUGCAAGGUGGCAGCAGCCUCAGGCACACCGAGAUCCGAUCCGGAAGAAGGGCCACUCGUUGUCGAGGAGCAGUAAGAGACUUAUGGUCGGUUUGGUUCUGUAUUCUGCGAUCUACAGUGCAAGAGAUGGCUGGCCCGACUCGGUGCGCACGCAUGUGAUGGGGAACCUUUUCUCUGCUCCGCAUCAUGUCUCCAUCUCGUUUUGUCGUGUACACGAAGGUGGCAUGGUCGUCACUGUCCCUCCACAGUGCCAUUAUCGUGCUCAUCCCCCUCUCUUCCACCGUCAUGAAGCGCACGCCACCUGUUCUUCUCUUGGCCGUGCGUUAAAACUACAUGGUGAAGAACUGCUGCGGCUGAUACUGUUCUUCCCAUGGGGAGAUGGAAAGAGUAUCAAGAACAGGAUGAGAUUCUGGGACUCGAGCAAGCAGACAACGGGAACGUGCUGCAGAUAAAGAGGAGUUUGGCCGGUAGCCACGAACCAAGACCCGUCUGCACCGGAAAAGGCAGCCGUGCGUGCCCUAAUCGGAGGGUGAGGAUGCCAAUGGCCAUGACUCUUGCCCCCUCGAGGAGGAGAGGAGAGACGGACCACCUCCAUCAGUCACACACCUCAUCACAGCAAUGUGGAGAAGUCCUGCACGUAUGAUUAGUUUAACAGAUACGGUGAACAGUUCAUGGGGGGGCCAUUUCUGAUGCAUGGGAACAUGUGAGAUCUGGCACAGUGGCGGAAUAUAGAUAUUAUAUGUAGUAAGGGAUAAGCGCGAGAGGAAGAUGAUGACGAUGUGAAGCUGCUAAUAAAAUGGUGGAUAGAGUUCAUAUCAGUGGCGGCCGAGAAGAGGAUAUAUUUGGGGCACUGUCGACAUACUUUUGACGUGGGAAGAGGAUAUCUUUGCAUUCAUGAGAUGUAGAAUACGGCGGAAAGAAGACAAGACAGAGCGGGACGGAAGACGAUGCUGACGUUGCAGAGGGCCACACGCAUCCACUUAAACAGAGUCAAUUAUAAUUAAUGAUAAAAGGUCAAUUCCCAAGAAAACGAAGUCCUAUUUUUUAGAUUUUUUUAAAGCGAUUAGUGUUAGUUUGCCAUAAAUAUCUUGGGGAGGACAAUUUAUAAGGUUUAAAUUAUGAGUUUUGAAUAUAUUUAUAGUAUUUUGACGGAGAUAUGGAAAGUAGCAUAAGUCUAUUCAAAACCAUUAUAAUAAAAAAUAAAUAAAUAAAAUAUAAUUUUAAAAUUUUUAUAUUAAUUAUAUUGUUUUUUAAUAGACUUAUAAUGUAUCUAAUUAUUUUAUUAGGAAAUAAUAUUUAAAAUAUAAAAAAACCUUAAAAAAAAUUAAUUUUAGAACUCGCCCACAUGGAAAAACCUUUCUAGUAUAAUAAUAAGAAGAAAAAAGAUAAAUAAUGGCUAAAUAAAUAAACAUUAGUAGUUAAAAUUGUUUCGUUCCGUAUUAUUACACUGAGUAGGUGUUAUACUUGGGGCACACGAAAAGGAUCUCCGGCAAUUAUACCAACGAGCAACGUUGAUGUAGGACAACUGUCCCCGUGCAAGGAGGAGGGUCAUCGAGCAACCGAAUCCACCACUAAUCAUUAAGGACGACAUCCACAGGUCACUUGUUAAUUAUCAAGCGAUGACACAUAUCUUGGUAGGUGGUGAAGCUCUUUUUUGUUAUCAUGUAAAAUAUCCUACUUGUAUAUCGUAAUACCCUACAUGUUCACCUAAGUUUGAGACAAUUCAAGAAGAACAAGUGAUAGUGGUCAUCCUGAUAAGUCUCUCUCUCUCUCUCUAUCAUUCUAUCUCAUCUGGCAAAACUUGGGAGUAUGGGAUGUUGCAACUCUAGUACUAAAUUGGCAACAAUUUGAAGAGUUGGGAAGUGAUGAUGCACUCAGAGUAAUCAGUGGCUUUUGCUUUUGUUUUUGUGUGUGGUUUUGGAGAAGGUUUCAACACAAGUUGCUUUCAAGUGCUGCUGCCUCUGUGAGUUGUUCCCCUCUCCAUUUCACACAAUCAUGCCUGCCUCUUUUGUCAUUUUUAGUCUGAAAGAUAUCCCCCAACCUCCUCCCAGCUCACACACCCCCCCCCCUCCCCUCCCCUGCAGCAAUUAUUGUCCCCAUCCACUGUUAGUCCUCUCACCUGUCCUCACUCAUUACACACAUUAUCACCCACUGAAUCCUGCAACUGUCCCCAUUUCCUUGUAUCCUGCACUCCUUGUGGUCCUAAUAAGCAUGGAAAUGUGGUGAUCGCCUAAGACUUGGCCUUUUGUGGGCACUUCACUUCAUUCUAUUAUAUCAUCCGAGGACAUGACAUGGACCCACAACAACCAGCAUCAUACUGUUGUCCCCAUAUGUUCACAGGCUAAUCUUUGUAACACGCAUGGUAGCUUAGCCAACUUUUGUUGAUUUCCUGAUGCGUGGAAGAGGCUGCUACGACUUAUCUUUUGCCAAACACAGCUAAGCUCUUGUUUUAAUAUGCUGCUGCUCAUUGGCAUACUAUAAGUCUCGUUCCUGACUCUGCUUGUUGCUUUGAUUUGAAGCAAAAGGAAAGUGGAUACGUGGAAUAUAAUUUUGUGUCUCAAAUCUCAUCUCUGCACGAAGAAUAAAGUUUCCUUGUGGCUGAUGAUCAAUUAAUAUCUUUGGUCAUGAGGUUCACCUUGCCUAUGGUUUUUAACUACACGAGAAAAAAAGAGUACAUUCGAGUGAUGGUGAUGAUGAUUAAUUGACAAACAAAUGAAAUAAAAACAUUAAACAUAUGUUCAAAUCUGUGAACACUGAAGCAAAAUUCUUACAUUUAUCUUUCUUAUUUUAUUAUUUUAUAAUCUGCUGCAGAGUACCAUUUUGUACACUUGAAGCACUGGUCCAGAUCUAGAUCAAGCACUGGUCCAUGAUUCAAGACAAAAGAAAAUUGAGGCAGCAGGCAGCUAAUUCUGAACCCACAUGCCAAAAGUACGCAGCUGGUGGUGUUUGGGCAGUGCAGACACUCAAUUCUAGGUUGCUUGACAAGGCCAGAUAUCAAAGUCUUUACCUAAGAAUAAGAAAGAGCUUUGAUUGAUGUGAGACAUUCCUAACACUUGAGAUGCCAAGGCUCCAAUGGGGGUGGAGCCCCCUUCUCCUCCUCCUCCGGUUAAUUGCCAUCCAUCCUCACCAGCUUUGUUUCUUUGCUUUUGGUGGAGGAUUCCUCCACACCCUCCCCACCAGUCUGAGACAUCGGAUGGGGGUGUGGGGGGUGCCGAGCUCACACAUCUCUUUCGCUAAAAGACAUCACCACCAUAUUUGUGUGUGUCCUCCCAACUUUUUUCCUUUGGGACGCAGAGGGUGGGGGUCUCAUGUGGACACGCAGAGACAUCUGAAAGCAACGUGAUGUUGCACGCCGCGGACGCGAUGCCCCCACUGCUGCUUGUGAUGUGGUGGUGUUCGGCUUCCCCACACCGUCAAAGGAGAGCCCUGUUCAAAAGGUUCAGCCUUUUGGUACACAACGAGAUGAUGGCACUCCAACUCUGAGGUCGGUCUAAAAGCACGCAUUGAUUCACGAGCACCGGUAAAAACCGUGUGGUUGUGCCGUGUGGGGGCAAAGCGGCGACAAGAUUAUUAUUUUUGGGUGCUUCAACCACUCGAUGCGCGUUUGGACCUUUUGAACAUGUCACUCAUCAACUGUGUUGAUCGAUGUAAGUGAUGUCCAAAUCAUUUCGACUUGAUUCCCAACCUCGCGUGCUCAGAAAAAAAGUCUGAUAUGGAGCACAUCCGUCUGAUAGCCGACCUAGAAGAUCGAGGCCCGUCCGAUCGAGUCUCCAUCGAGACCCGUCAUUUAGUUUCAACUAAUUAUUUUGAAUAAACAGUAAUUAACCUUAAUUAUAGUGACCCGAUGGGCUUAACCCAAAAAAUAAAAUAUUUUACAAUAUGAAUAAAAUAUUAAAAAUAUAUAUUAAACUAAUGUUAGUGUGAUUGGUAGGCUUGCUGCAAAGCUUGAUAAUAUUGGAUCAUCAGAACAAGAAAAGCAAAAGAAGCAUGAACAGAAAAUAAAAGAAAAGACUGCCAAAUGUUCCAGUGAAAUUGCAGAAUGGUAGAGUUUACAGGUCAAUAAAAUGAAAAGAAGAAAGCCUGCAAUUAAGAAUAAUAAAAUUUAAUAUACCUAUGAACUUGAAUAAUGUUAAUAAAAUUAAUUUAACCAUGAACAUGAAUCAAGUUUCCAGACAUAUUUGGCCCUCAUGUAAAACAAUGAAUUAAAUCAACUAUCUCAAGCUCUGACUUAAAAGAUAUUGUCAUGUACAGAGCACAAUGGUGGGGAAAUGUCCAUGAAGUAGGACAUUACAACUAGAUAUUGUUGUCUUCAAUUCAUUGUUGUUGUAAUCAAAUAAUCCAAGCUCUUAUCAGUCCUUAGGCUGUAAAUAAGCUUCAUCAAGCAACCUGCAAUGAUAUUGGAAAUUAUCCACAAAAGAAAAGAAAUUGUGAAGAUCUAAAAAGCCUGCAUAACCACUUCUUUUCCUUAUCCAAAGAACUAUCUUGCACUCCCCAGGAUAAACAACCUCUUGCAUGUGGUCGCUAGAAACAAAAAUUCCAAUGCAAGCCAUUUAGCACAAAGCAAAUCAUUGUGUUUCCAUGCCUUCAACAGAAAGAAUCGAAAUGGAGUAUAUCUAAUAUAUUAAAGCAGUGAUCAAAGUUCCCUACUGUACCUAUAUGUACAUGUUAGAGGGUGGCGAAGCCCAUAACCCAAAAGAAUGUAUGAAUAAUAAAACUGAACACAUACAUACAAAAAAACUAUGUCAGCUUUUGUGAGUCCAAAAAAUGACCACCUCAUAUUGCAAUUCUUAUCAAGUUUGUUCAAUAUAUCUAAACAACGUAAUUUUCAGAAAUUAUAAGUUCCUGCCUUUAUACAUCGCUGGCCAUCUCUCAGUCAACCUAUUGUUCUAUACACCCUGUAAAUGUUGAAUGAAAAAAAGAAAAACAAUGUAAUUGUACAAAUCUUACGAGUUCCUGGGUCUGCUAACAGGUCCCUCAGAUAGGGCGGCAUUGUUCUAAAACACCGUCUAAACGUUGAAUCCAUAGAAGUACUGCCUUGUGGUCAAGAUCAUAUAUCACAAUGCCUCUUGAGAACAACUUUCUUAGAUGAGCAUCUUCUAAAACAAUAUAUAUUAAAAUAAAAAUCUUUAAUAUUGAAAAAUUUUUAACUGGAAAAAAAGUUUAGAAGGAUUUAUAACUUGACUAACAUGAGAAAAAACUAAUUUCAAAAGAAAUAACAUCCAGGAGUAAAUAUUAACCACAUAAGAAUUACCAACGAUGAACAACUCUGCUUUUUGUUUCUUGCAUUUUAUAAGAUUAAGCUGGAUGUUUUAUUAGCUUCAUAUUCAAGCAAGCCAACUGACUUUCAUAUUUGUUUGUAUGUGCUUCAGCAAGUAUAGAUCCAGAUCUGGAAGUUUUUAUUAGUGAAGGAAAAAGCCAAGGAGGCAAUAUUACUAGGGAAACUUUGAAAGAAAGUAGAAAGAAGAAUAACCCAAAAACAAACAAAAUUUGAAAAUUUUGAAGUUCAUCAUCUGUUCUAACUUAGGGCUCAAUUCAGGUGCUUUCUUGCAACUUCUAUUGUUGUUUUGAUAUUUGUACUCUGUUUCUGUAGUAGAUAUUCCAUUAUUGGAUCUAGUGGAUGUGCUUAAGUAUUUCAAGUGGAUGGUUACCCCUUCUAUUUUCUCUUGGAAAGCAUAAAGAACUUUGAGCAUUACAUGUUAUACUGUAUGUAAUAUGAUAAUGAUGUGCAAAGAAAAAAACAUGUCACAUACUACAUAUAAAGCAACCAUACUACAUGUAAAUGGACUUUAUGCUUGGUAAGUUGUGUCUUCUUUAAUUGCAAAAAAAAAAUAAUUGAGACCAUAAUCAAAUUUGCAACGUUCAUGAUAAUUUCAAUAAAGCUCCGCAUCAAUGCAGAACCUUAGAUUUCAGAAAUCAAUUCUACUUUAUUUCAACUACAUACCAGACAAAGAUAGUUAAUAUUGUACAUAAACAUACCAUAUAUGCUCUCCUCAAAGAAGUGAUGUCUUCCUAUAUCCUACUUGUAUACCCUUGUCACAUGUCACAUACAACAAGCACAAUAAUGACAACGACGUGCGUGUGAUUUCUAAUGUCAUUGAGCUCUAAUUCAUGUCAAACACUAACAAAAUUUCCUCUGUGUUCAUGACAUAGCAUGACUUAGAACACUGCCAAGAACAAAACAAUAUCUCAAUAAGUAAAUUGGUGAAGACAUUUAGGAUCAGCAUAUAAUGUUAGGCAGCCUACAACAAAGAUCACCAACUAGAAUGACUUCUGGAAACUCCAUUGCGGCUCACGUUGGCCGGCAUUCUUUAGUCAAUUCUGUACAACCACCCCCUAAGAAACAUUUCAGGCUUAUCUCAGAGUCUCCAAAUUGUACCGAUGACUUAUCUUAGCUUGGACGGCAACAUGGUGGGCGGUUCUGCUUUGGUCCACCAUGUCUGAACCCGGUGUGAACGUGACGGGCCGCCACCAUGGCCUGCGUUCUAUCUUCAUGCAAGAAAGCGACGCCGAAUCGAAUUCGAACACCAGGGCUUCUCGAGCUACCAGAAACCCUAACCAGGAAAUUUCUAGGUCAACACUAAUAGAAAAGGUUUCAGAGACGAACGGCGUGGGUUUCCACUAAACGAUCGCUCGGGUCGCCAUGAUCAAUCCCCAGAAACGACGUCGGUUUCCAUCUAGAAUGCAACAAUCCAGACAUCCAGAUGGGGAAAAGAACUCCAACAACAGGCAUGGAAGAAAAGGAAAACCAUACCGACUCGAAGUCGUGCGGCUCGAUGGAGUGGACGAGAGGAGAAAUCCUGCGCCAAUCUCAGGGUUUUUAUACAUAAAAAAAUUUACAUUAAGACACAAAAUGUAAUUGGUUUUAUCGAUGAAAAAAUAAAAAUAAUGAAUAAAAAGAUAAUUUUAAUAUCUAAAUUAUAUUUUUGAUGAUAGUUAACGAUAAUGUCACUUGGGGCAUCGAUGAGUAUUAUGGAUGAUGAGAGAUAAUAACAACGAGAGGUGAGAUAGAGAGAGAAAAUGAAGAAGAUAAUGUAUAUACCGACGCGAGCGAUGGAAAGGGCGACGAUCUACUGCGAGCCGAAUGUGGCCUUCUUGAGUCCAUCCACGGUGCCAACUUCCUCAUGGCUCGUCGCAUCUGGAAGGUCACUGGUGUUACUUGUCACUCCCUUGACAUUGACUAUCGCAUCUCUAGUGCAGGUUCACAAUAGGUCUCGCCCCUUUACGUUUCUUGUGAUCUCGAUCCUAUUGCCUUCCAUUCGCACUAUGUGGCUUCCUCAUUCUCUUACUCUUGCCUCUCCACCUCCAAAUUCACGACAACUCCUCGGGCUAAGAAGCCCGCAUAUCCUCGAUAAAUGACCAUGAAGUGACAUCGCGAGGUGGUUGACGAAAGGAUGGAGGUCGUCCUGUCAAGCUAGAGCUAAAGGAUGGGGUGGCAGAACAAUACUAACGCAAAUUCAGAGUAUCGACGUCUGCAUCGUUCUCUCCCUUUGCCCCAACUCUCACUGCUCUCCCUCAUCAUCCACAAUAGUCACCACGGCCCCUAUCUAUGUCAUCGUUUGCUACCACUAAAAAGUAAUUGAGAUAUUAAAAUUAUCUUUUUGCCUAUCGUUUUUGUGUUUUCAUUGAUAAAACUGAUAAUAUUAGGAUAAAUAAUAUUAGAUAUUUUACUUUCGUACAUAUUCUAACAUAAAAUUUUCAAGUCUAGAAAAUAGAAUAGAAAGGAGAUCUAACUAUAAUAAAUAAUAUGUAAUUAGCCUGCUAAUCUUUCAAGGCAUCGGUAAGAUUCAGAAAAACAUAUAUAUAUAUAUAUAUAUAUAUAUAUAUAUAUAUAUAUAUAUAUAUAUGUAUAUAUUUCUAAAAUUUGAUUGUUUAUAUAUAGUUCUUUCAAAAUAUUUAGAUUUAUAACAAUAGACCACAAGCAAUCGAACGAAGUCAAGUCAACGAUUUAAUAAUUCUUAACCAAAUCAGCACUUUGAUUCGAUUUGAAUCGAUCAAAAAAAUAAAAAAUCUAAGUACAUUUGUAAAUAAUAAAUUUAUCCCGUAUAACCUAAUAAACGACUAAUUAGAUGAAUAUUCUAUAAAAUAAAAAAUAGAGGAAUUGGAAUCGAUUGAUUCUUGAACCGAAAUUGAAAUUGCCUAGAAACAGUUCUUUGUUAUAUCAUUCAACAUAAGAAAUUGAAAUUGCCUAGAAAUCAUUCAACAUAAGAAUUUCUUUUAUCAUUGAAAUUCAAUAGAACCAAUAUUUUUGAUUCUGAAUUGAAAAUAUAUAUUUUAAAUUGUAAUUUAAAAAAAAACUCCAAUGGGUCAUUUAUUAAAAAUGUUGAAAAGGAUAAACUCAUCAUUUAUUUAUUUAUUUUUCUCAUCGGCUUGUAAUCGAAUCAAAAUUAUCAGUUUCCAUUUUCGUUUCGGAUUCCAUAAUUCUAGAAAUCGAAAUCAAACGGCCAAAUUCCAAUUCUAAUUUGAUUAAAAAUUAUAUUACCCUACCCUUUCUCAUUUUUGAUCGAUUUGAUCCGAGUUGGAAAUUAGCUCACAUAACCACUCCUUUGGAUCUUCGAGCAAUGAUGAAUUAAUAAAAAAAUGAUGCAAAUGUAUUAGAAAGUAACAAUAUACAUACAUACAUACACAAUCCUAGAGAUUAUUUUUUUGGAAGAGAGAAAGCUCCUUCUCCCUUCAUUAUCCGUCAUUAUACUUUGUCGCACAUAUGGAACAUGACGUGCUGCAACCUUCGCCUCCGCCUACAAGUUUGGAUGGGUCAUCAAUUUAGCUUGCAGAAUAAGCUUUGGUCCGCCGUGACCCCGUCGUCGUGAUGCUGCGCCUUCCUGUUUCCUGUGACGCGCCUCAAUUGUUCGACGCAAGUUGUCACAGAAAACGCCGUGGAUAACAGAAGGAUAAUGUAAGAGCGGUUUAAUGGUCGCGUCUUCCGGUACACCAACUUGCAAUAUCGUGUCACACAUCAUCAGCCGCACAUCCCUCCGUCGAUCGAAAGUCAGCAUCUUGUGGUCGCUUUUUCUUCCCUUGAAUAAUCGAUGCGCGACGAUGAAGUCAAGAUCGUCAUUCUCUGUGGGACCCGCCGUGUCGCCCAAUGGGAGAACGUCUCCUACCCACUAGGCGUUGCACGCGAGGUCGGUGGGGCCGACGGAGUACUCGUUGCACGCGAGGUCGGUGGGGCCUACUCCGUCGGCCCAAUGGGAGAACGUUGGUUCCCUCCUCGAGGCGUUGCACGCGAGGUCGCACGUGCGAUACCGUCCUACACAAAACGUGUGAAGUUUGGGUGAGAAGGAAAGAGUCCAGAAUCACUGCUCCGAAUCGGAAAAGUGUUUUUGGCAGCAGAAUCACUGCUCAGAAUCAGAACGUGUUUCCAUACCUGGGGCGUUUCUUUCGGAUCAGAUAGUCAACCGUAAAAGACGACCAUUUUUUAUUUACUUGGUCAUCGUCACCCGGUUUUCUGUGUGGGCCCUCGACGCAGUCCCACAUGACGCCCAAUGGUCAUGAGGGUGGUGGAAAGUUAGGAAGUUGCCGCGUUUGAACCAAUCCGACGUUUCGUUUCGUCGCCCUUUUAAGUAACGUGCGAUAGUAAUUCGUUUGUUCAAACCCGUUAUACCUUUCAGUUUCCCGAAUUUUUAUUUCGACGUGUAGGAAGUACGCGUAGAACUUACGUGUUCGAGCGGGCCCUCGGAUGGGCAUCUUAAUUUCUGUGCUGGGACAUGGUUUUGCUCAUGACACGAACUCGCGUGGAUCGAGGAGGUGUGAGCUUUGCGUUCCACGCCCAUGGAAACGCUAAUGGUAAUGCUUCCAUUUAAUUGCAAAGAAGGGAUUGGGCAAGACUUCUCUCCCCUCCACUUUGGUCAUUGGCCCAUCUCUUCAACCACUCCUCCCUUCGCCCGCCGAUCCCUGCCUCCUUUUCUUCCUCUGCGAGUCUUUUGGCGUCGACUCUUGAUCUCCGCGUCUUGGAUUGGUUCAGUUGGAUCGGCGAUCGUCGCGCCGCGCCCUACGUUUUGGUUUUCUGCAAGUGAGCCCUUCUUCAAGCAUCCGUCGGUUCUCGACCAACCUCCGUCGAUCGAACAUCAGGUAAUAGGUCGAUCGUUCUUUUCCUGAUUUAAUUUGUUUUUCGGGGCUUUUUCCGUAUAGAAUGUUCCUUCUCUUCUGGAAAAUCAAGAUUACAACCAUCAGGACUGGGAAAGCAAGUUUGAUUUUGACUACCGUGUGACUGGCGUCGAGAAGGAUGGUAGGACUUUCUGUAGUCCCAGAAGUACCGAUUGUCCAUCUUUGUGUGUCCUUGUUUAGGAUCGAGUUUGUCAUCUUUAGAUUGGUUAGCUUGCCUUUGGGUUUCUGAUCAUGAUUAUUUAAAGCUGUCUCACAGACGGAAUAAUGAUUUAUAUUUACUUGCUGCAUAACUAGCGACGGAAAAUGUGCUGAGAGUAAUCAAUAGAUUAAUCGUGUACUAUGCUUUUGAUUGUCGAUAUAUAUUGUUUUGAUGGUCUUCUGAUAAGGUGAAAGCUUUGGAACAAUUUAACGUCCAUGUAGGAUGAUCUUUUGAUAAUUUUAGUGAUCUGCUUAUCCUUUAUCUUAUGGUCAGCGAUUCUUUUGUUCUCAUUUACUAAUUUAAGUCAGUCUUAGAUGAACCUUUUUCAUUAGGUGUCGGGGGCUUUUCAAGAAUGGUUCUUUUUAUUACGUUCAGCUGAGUGUGUGCAUGUCUAUGAAAAUAACCUUUAUGCCGGCAAAGGGGCAGGAGCCUUAUAAUUUGGGUCACCCACUUGGUCUAAAUUAGAUAUUAAGUUUGGUUCUUCUCAUGUUCAACUUGAUUUUAGAAGCAUAAUGUUACUUGACAUGAGUAUGAAACGUUCAAUGACUUGAUGUUCGGUUUAUUUUUCUAAGCAAACGAAUCAAAUUGGUAAAGCUGGAUGAUUCAACAAAACAUCGUGAUCCACAAUUAAUUGGUAUCUUCUAUCUUGCAGAUGUGAGUUACAUGCUUAUGCUGUUCUAUAGUGAAAGAACAUGUAUAGCCCACCAUUUCAGAGAUCUUGAAUGAUAGACAUGUUCAUAUUAAUGGUUGUUCCACAGUUGCUAGAAAGGAUCAAUUGGGAGGCAACACAGAUAAAGAAUAUGGCCUUGUUGAAUUAGAGGGUCAUUCACAAAAACCCAAUUAUUACCUUCACUUAAACCAUGCUUAAGUAUCAUAUAAUUAUUCAUGAUCAAUGUGCCUCAAUUGAUUAAAAAAAAAAUCAAUUGCAUGUGUCUCUUAUAUUCGAUGACGUUAGAACUCACCUCAUCUUUUCACAGUCCAUAAACCAGUGAACGAUGGCUGAAGAACCAUGCUUUAUGUCCCAAAUGUUUCCUCGAAUCACAAUAGGCUGGCUUACCACAUAAAACAGUCUAUAAACAGCCUUUGAAGUUCCAUGUAAAACAAGUAAAACAUAUUUUUCAAAAAAGACUUACAGGUUGGCUAAGUUUGAUUGCUCCUUAUUAUUGUCUUUUCUAUUAUAUCUACAUUCUAGUUUUAUGCUCUCAUUAUAUUUUAUUUUUGUUUCUCUUGAUGAUAUAAUUACUAACUCAUGUUAAUCGAUACUGUUGGGGAAAAAAAAUAUCAUUGUCGUCCUUGUCAAUAUGACGUAGCCCUGAUCUAUAUACGUGAAGUCAU
Molecule: long non-coding RNA, 30203 nt
Filed under: Musa acuminata (dwarf banana)
Lineage: Eukaryota; Viridiplantae; Streptophyta; Magnoliopsida; Zingiberales; Musaceae
Description: long non-coding RNA (MACU_LNC006085)
Source: RNAcentral